GAGUUUGAUCCUGGCUCAGAUUGAACGCUGGCGGCAGGCCUAACACAUGCAAGUCGAACGGUAGCACAGAGAGCUUGCUCUCGGGUGACGAGUGGCGGACGGGUGAGUAAUGUCUGGGAAACUGCCUGAUGGAGGGGGAUAACUACUGGAAACGGUAGCUAAUACCGCAUAACGUCGCAAGACCAAAGAGGGGGACCUUCGGGCCUCUUGCCAUCGGAUGUGCCCAGAUGGGAUUAGCUAGUAGGUGGGGUAACGGCUCACCUAGGCGACGAUCCCUAGCUGGUCUGAGAGGAUGACCAGCCACACUGGAACUGAGACACGGUCCAGACUCCUACGGGAGGCAGCAGUGGGGAAUAUUGCACAAUGGGCGCAAGCCUGAUGCAGCCAUGCCGCGUGUAUGAAGAAGGCCUUCGGGUUGUAAAGUACUUUCAGCGAGGAGGAAGGCAUUAAGGUUAAUAACCUUAGUGAUUGACGUUACUCGCAGAAGAAGCACCGGCUAACUCCGUGCCAGCAGCCGCGGUAAUACGGAGGGUGCAAGCGUUAAUCGGAAUUACUGGGCGUAAAGCGCACGCAGGCGGUCUGUCAAGUCGGAUGUGAAAUCCCCGGGCUCAACCUGGGAACUGCAUCCGAAACUGGCAGGCUAGAGUCUUGUAGAGGGGGGUAGAAUUCCAGGUGUAGCGGUGAAAUGCGUAGAGAUCUGGAGGAAUACCGGUGGCGAACGCGGCCCCCUGGACAAAGACUGACGCUC
RNAcentral lists this ribosomal RNA (748 nucleotides) under bacterium enrichment culture clone DB86. RNAcentral's name for it is "bacterial SSU rRNA". It matches the Rfam family "Bacterial small subunit ribosomal RNA", at positions 9 to 748 of the family's 1533-position model. The record is from RNAcentral.